RNAcentral lists this ribosomal RNA (387 nucleotides) under Acrochaete sp. RNAcentral describes it as "partial small subunit ribosomal RNA". It matches the Rfam family "Eukaryotic small subunit ribosomal RNA", at positions 582 to 975 of the family's 1831-position model. Lineage: Eukaryota; Viridiplantae; Chlorophyta; Ulvophyceae; Ulvales; Ulvellaceae. The record is from RNAcentral.
AUUCCAGCUCCAAUAGCGUAUAUUUAAGUUGUUGCAGUUAAAAAGCUCGUAGUUGGAUUUCGGGUUGGCUUCAGCGGUCUCGCUUUGCGUUUGUACUGCUGCAGCCUUCCUUCUUGUCGGGGACGGGCCUACGGGCUUAAUUGCUUGGGGCCCGGAGUCGACGAUGUUACUUUGAGUAAAUUAGAGUGUUCAAAGCAAGCCUACGCUCUGAAUAUAAUAGCAUGGGAUAACACGACAGGACUCUGGCCUAUCGUGUUGGUCUGUAGGACCGGAGUAAUGAUUAAGAGGGACAGUCGGGGGCAUUCGUAUUCCAUUGUCAGAGGUGAAAUUCUUGGAUUUAUGGAAGACGAACAUCUGCGAAAGCAUUUGUCAAGGAUGUUUUCAUUA